RNAcentral lists this transfer RNA (89 nucleotides) under Clostridiales bacterium. Its description in RNAcentral is "tRNA-Ser". It matches the Rfam family "tRNA". From Rfam's summary of the family: Transfer RNA (tRNA) molecules are approximately 80 nucleotides in length. Lineage: Bacteria; Bacillati; Bacillota; Clostridia; Eubacteriales. The record is from RNAcentral.
GGAGACGUAUCGAAGCGGUCAUAACGGGGCUGACUCGAAAUCAGUUAGGCAGCAAUGCCACGUGGGUUCGAAUCCCACCGUCUCCGCCA